AUUGAACGCUGGCGGCAGGCUUAACACAUGCAAGUCGAACGAUGAAACUCUAGCUUGCUAGAGAAGAUUAGUGGCGGACGGGUGAGUAACAUUUAGGAAUCUGCCUAGUAGUGGGGGAUAGCUCGGGGAAACUCGAAUUAAUACCGCAUACGACCUACGGGUGAAAGGGGGCGCAAGCUCUUGCUAUUAGAUGAGCCUAAAUCAGAUUAGCUAGUUGGUGGGGUAAAGGCCCACCAAGGCGACGAUCUGUAACUGGUCUGAGAGGAUGAUCAGUCACACCGGAACUGAGACACGGUCCGGACUCCUACGGGAGGCAGCAUUGGGGAAUAUUGGACAAUGGGGGCAACCCUGAUCCAGCCAUGCCGCGUGUGUGAAGAAGGCCUUUUGGUUGUAAAGCACUUUAAGCAGGGAGGAGAGGCUAAUGGUUAAUACCCAUUAGAUUAGACGUUACCUGCAGAAUAAGCACCGGCUAACUCUGUGCCAGCAGCCGCGGUAAAUACAGAGGGUGCGAGCGUUAAUCCGAAUUACUGGGCGUAAAGCGAGUGUAGGUGGCUCAUUAAGUCACAUGUGAAAUCCCCGGGGCUUAACCUGGGAACUGCAUGUGAUACUGGUGGUGCUAGAAUAUGUGAGAGGGAAGUAGAAUUCCAGGUGUAGCGGUGAAAUGCGUAGAGAUCUGGAGGAAUACCGAUGGCGAAGGCAGCUUCCUGGCAUAAUAUUGACACUGAGAUUCGAAAGCGUGGGUAGCAAACAGGAUUAGAUACCCUGGUAGUCCACGCCGUAAACGAUGUCUACUAGCCGUUGGGGUCCUUGAGACUUUAGUGGCGCAGUUAACGCGAUAAGUAGACCGCCUGGGGAGUACGGCCGCAAGGUUAAAACUCAAAUGAAUUGACGGGGGCCCGCACAAGCGGUGGAGCAUGUGGUUUAAUUCGAUGCAACGCGAAGAACCUUACCUGGUCUUGACAUAGUGAGAAUCCUGCAGAGAUGCGGGAGUGCCUUCGGGAAUUCACAUACAGGUGCUGCAUGGCUGUCGUCAGCUCGUGUCGUGAGAUGUUGGGUUAAGUCCCGCAACGAGCGCAACCCUUUUCCUUAUUUGCCAGCGGGUUAAGCCGGGAACUUUAAGGAUACUGCCAGUGACAAACUGGAGGAAGGCGGGGACGACGUCAAGUCAUCAUGGCCCUUACGACCAGGGCUACACACGUGCUACAAUGGUAGGUACAGAGGGUUGCUACACAGCGAUGUGAUGCUAAUCUCAAAAAGCCUAUCGUAGUCCGGAUUGGAGUCUGCAACUCGACUCCAUGAAGUCGGAAUCGCUAGUAAUCGCAGAUCAGAAUGCUGCGGUGAAUACGUUCCCGGGCCU
RNAcentral lists this ribosomal RNA (1357 nucleotides) under uncultured bacterium. RNAcentral's name for it is "bacterial SSU rRNA". It matches the Rfam family "Bacterial small subunit ribosomal RNA", at positions 28 to 1381 of the family's 1533-position model. The record is from RNAcentral.